Molecule: ribosomal RNA, 279 nt
Filed under: uncultured bacterium
Lineage: Bacteria
Description: partial 16S ribosomal RNA
Rfam family: Bacterial small subunit ribosomal RNA
Source: RNAcentral
UGCCAGCAGCCGCGGUAAUAUGGACGGGGCUUGCGUUGUUCGGAAUUACUGGGCGUAAAGCGCACGUAGGCGGACUAUUAAGUCAGGGGUGAAGUCCCAGGGCUCAACCCUGGAACUGCCUCUGAUACUGGCAAUCUAGAGUUCGAGAGAGGUGAGUGGAAUUCCGAGUGUAGAGGUGAAAUUCGUAGAUAUUCGGAGGAACACCAGUGGCGAAGGCGGCUCACUGGCUCGAUACUGACGCUGAGGUGCGAAGGCGUGGGGAGCGAACAGGGUUAGAUA